This 391-nucleotide ribosomal RNA is filed under the name uncultured bacterium. RNAcentral's name for it is "bacterial SSU rRNA". It matches the Rfam family "Bacterial small subunit ribosomal RNA", at positions 28 to 419 of the family's 1533-position model. The record is from RNAcentral.
GACGAACGCUGGCGGCGUGCUUAACACAUGCAAGUCGAGCGGUAAGGCCCUUUCGGGGGUACACGAGCGGCGAACGGGUGAGUAACACGUGGGUGACCUGCCCUCAGCUCUGGGAUAAGCCUGGGAAACCGGGUCUAAUACCGGAUAUGACUCCAUGACGCAUGUUGUGGGGUGGAAAGCCUUGCGCGGCUGAGGAUGGGCCCGCGGCCUAUCAGCUUGUUGGUGGGGUGANGGCCUACCAAGGCGACGACGGGUAGCCGGCCUGAGAGGGCGACCGGCCACACUGGGACUGAGACACGGCCCAGACUCCUACGGGAGGCAGCAGUGGGGAAUCUUGCGCAAGUGGGCGAAAGCCUGACGCAGCGACGCCGCGUGAGGGAUGACGGCCUGG